This 72-nucleotide small nuclear RNA is filed under the name Echinops telfairi (small Madagascar hedgehog). Lineage: Eukaryota; Metazoa; Chordata; Mammalia; Afrosoricida; Tenrecidae. The record is from RNAcentral.
GUGCUCACUCCGGCUGCACAUUGACUACAACUGCAAUGAUACAGAGAAGAUUAGCAGGGCCCCUGAGCAAGG